CCUCACUACAGGCAUCCCACCUUCCUCUGAUUGCCAGUCCACAAGAUACAAGAAAUAUGUACAGGAUAAUACAGUGCAUCUCAUCUUAACAGAAUAUCAUUUCCAGUCAUGGGUAAAACAGAAAUAUUUC
Molecule: long non-coding RNA, 130 nt
Filed under: Numida meleagris (helmeted guineafowl)
Lineage: Eukaryota; Metazoa; Chordata; Aves; Galliformes; Numididae
Description: lncRNA (ENSNMEG00000017696.1)
Source: RNAcentral